CGCAGGAUAGUGAAAUGGCAUCACGCCAGCCUCCUUAGCUGGUAUUACAGGUUCGACACCUGUUCCUGCAACCA
This 74-nucleotide transfer RNA is filed under the name Coprobacillus sp. AF21-8LB. Its description in RNAcentral is "tRNA-Arg". It matches the Rfam family "tRNA". Rfam says of the family: Transfer RNA (tRNA) molecules are approximately 80 nucleotides in length. The record is from RNAcentral. Lineage: Bacteria; Bacillati; Bacillota; Erysipelotrichia; Erysipelotrichales; Coprobacillaceae. RNAcentral also lists the same sequence under 1 other name.